Molecule: non-coding RNA, 71 nt
Organism: Cordylochernes scorpioides
Lineage: Eukaryota; Metazoa; Arthropoda; Arachnida; Pseudoscorpiones; Chernetidae
Source: the annotation of a GenBank genome assembly
UUCCCACGCCGGGAAACGAACCCGGGCCUUAUGAGUGAAAGCCGGAUAUCCUAGCCAAUAGACACAUGGGA